This 492-nucleotide ribosomal RNA is filed under the name uncultured bacterium. RNAcentral describes it as "partial 16S ribosomal RNA". It matches the Rfam family "Bacterial small subunit ribosomal RNA", at positions 29 to 507 of the family's 1533-position model. The record is from RNAcentral.
AGUGAACGCUGGCGGUAGGCCUAACACAUGCAAGUCGAACGGCAGCACAGUAAGAGCUUGCUCUUACGGGUGGCGAGUGGCGGACGGGUGAGGAAUACAUCGGAAUCUACUUUUUCGUGGGGGAUAACGUAGGGAAACUUACGCUAAUACCGCAUACGACCUACGGGUGAAAGCAGGGGAUCUUCGGACCUUUCGCGAUUGAAUGAGCCGAUGUCGGAUUAGCUAGUUGGCGGGGUAAAGGCCCACCAAGGCGACGAUCCGUAGCUGGUCUGAGAGGAUGAUCAGCCACACUGGAACUGAGACACGGUCCAGGCUCCUACGGGAGGCGGCAGUGGGGAAUAUUGGACAAUGGGCGCAAGCCUGAUCCAGCCAUACCACGUGGGUGAAGAAGGCCUUCGGGUUGUAAAGCCCUUUUGUUGGGAAAGAAAAGCAGCAGGUUAAUACCCCGCUGUUCUGACGGUACCCAAAGAAUAAGCACCGGCUAACUUCGUG